UUGCGAGCAAAAUACCUGAAUUUGACCUUAUUUUACACACAGCAGCUCCACCCAUUUUUCUUCUUUUUCUUUUCUUUUUGCAGUCCUUUUUCGGCUGAACCCUAAACUGAAAAACCCCAGCUGCCAUUUUCUCUCCCUUGCAAGAAACACCCAUAACCAUAUUCAAAGGUCAGCUCCCCCCAGCUCUAAAGAUUCAAUCUUUCUAACCCUAUACCCUUUUUAGUUUUAGUCUUUUUUUUUAUCGAUGGCGUGGUGAUUAAUAAUGAUUUGUACUGUGUAGAAAUAUUGAAAGAAUCCAUGGCAGAAGUGGGUGAAGCUACUUUAUGUUGUGCUCAAUGUGGCAAGCCUGCUCAUCUUCAGUAUGUUUCCACUAUUUUUAAUUUUUGUGUUCUUUUUUUGCUACUUUAUGUUGUGCUCAAUGUGGAAAGCCCGCUCAUCUUCAGUAUGUUUCGACUCUUUUUAAUUUUUUAUUCUUUUUUCAAUUGUAAAAAAGAUGUUUUUUGUAAUUUUCUUUGUUGAAUCUGAUUGCUUGGGUGGCUUUGAUACAAAUAUAUGCUUUAUGAUAUUCAACUGAGUUUGAGGUUAUGCACAUUGCUUACUUAUGUGUUCGGAUU
Molecule: long non-coding RNA, 614 nt
Filed under: Nicotiana benthamiana
Lineage: Eukaryota; Viridiplantae; Streptophyta; Magnoliopsida; Solanales; Solanaceae
Description: long non-coding RNA (NBEN_LNC009666)
Source: RNAcentral